Molecule: non-coding RNA, 477 nt
Organism: Phascolarctos cinereus (koala)
Lineage: Eukaryota; Metazoa; Chordata; Mammalia; Diprotodontia; Phascolarctidae
Source: RefSeq, a predicted model, not a curated record
AAUUGUCUUCUUGACUCUGAAGCUCACACUCUAUCCAUUAUUCCUUGCUUUUCUUUUAUAAAGUAAGGAGCAUUGGAUAUCCCAAGCAAUGAUCACAGAAUCUACAUGUGCUAACAACUGGAUCAAGCUAAAACACUGCUUCACCUCCUUAAGCUGUGAUCUCAUUAGAGCUUAGAAGCAGAAGAGCACAGAGCACAGAUAUGACCAACCAGUCCUCUUAACUUGUCAAGUUUACCUUUUGAUGGAGAGACCCAGUCCAUAUCCCAGCCACUAGCAUCUGCAGCACAAUGAUCCAAGACAAGUACAAAGGACUCAUGAAGGAAAAUACUAUCCACACCCAGGUAAAGAGCUGAUGGACUGAAUGUACAUGAAAGCAUUUUUUUUCACUUACUUUAUUCUUUCUCCUUUUGCUGUUUUUCUCUCACAAUUGUGACAAAUAUGGAAAUAUUUUCCAUGAUAGCACAUGUACAAACCACA